This 292-nucleotide ribosomal RNA is filed under the name uncultured bacterium. RNAcentral describes it as "partial 16S ribosomal RNA". It matches the Rfam family "Bacterial small subunit ribosomal RNA", at positions 505 to 796 of the family's 1533-position model. The record is from RNAcentral.
GUGUCAGCCGCCGCGGUAAUACGUAGGGUGCGAGCGUUAAUCGGAAUUACUGGGCGUAAAGCGCGCGCAGGUGGCUCGUUGCGCCCGGCGUGAAAGCCCCCGGCUUAACCGGGGAAGGUCGUCGGGGACGGGCGAGCUUGAGGGCGGCAGGGGCCGGUGGAACUCCCGGUGUGGUGGUGAAAUGCGUAGAGAUCGGGAAGAACACCCGUGGCGAAGGCGGCCGGCUGGGCCGACCCUGACACUGAGGCGCGAAGGCGUGGGGAGCGAACGGGAUUAGAUACCCCGGUAGUCC